AGUGAACGCUGGCGGUAGGCCUAACACAUGCAAGUCGAACGGCAGCACAGUAAGAGCUUGCUCUUACGGGUGGCGAGUGGCGGACGGGUGAGGAAUACAUCGGAAUCUACUUUUUCGUGGGGGAUAACGUAGGGAAACUUACGCUAAUACCGCAUACGACCUACGGGUGAAAGCAGGGGAUCUUCGGACCUUGCGCGAUUGAAUGAGCCGAUGUCGGAUUAGCUAGUUGGCGGGGUAAAGGCCCACCAAGGCGACGAUCCGUAGCUGGUCUGAGAGGAUGAUCAGCCACACUGGAACUGAGACACGUCCCAGACUCCUACGGGAGGCAGCAGUGGGGAAUAUUGGACAAUGGGCGCAAGCCUGAUCCAGCCAUACCGCGUGGGUGAAGAAGGCCUUCGGGUUGUAAAGCCCUUUUGUUGGGAAAGAAAAGCAGCAGGUUAAUACCCCGCUGUUCUGACGGUACCCAAAGAAUAAGCACCGGCUAACUUCGUG
RNAcentral lists this ribosomal RNA (492 nucleotides) under uncultured bacterium. RNAcentral's name for it is "partial 16S ribosomal RNA". It matches the Rfam family "Bacterial small subunit ribosomal RNA", at positions 29 to 507 of the family's 1533-position model. The record is from RNAcentral.